CCCGUGCGAAGUAUGUCUGUGUGAUGUCACCGUGUCGGGGAUAUAGUUCCUCUCACUAGAAUAAAGAGAGUAGAGGAAAUCACGAUGAGGAUGGACUGUGCGCAACGCGUCCUAUCCAUGGGUUGUCGAUGGUGAAAUAUAUAUUUCGGGGGAGCGCAUUUAAAGCACAUUAUUGUAACAACCAUUUGUUCUACACAUUGGUGUCCGACUCCCUAGCUCCUGCUGAGUAGAGGGUAAGCACCAUGCUAUUCCUUUCACUCCCACCAUCAACACAUCCACCAGUCAACACCUGCCCUGAGAGACUACAUGACUGGCAGAAUAAUGAGCCAGCCUGGGGAAAUGUGUUGAUUAUGACACUUGGAGGGAAGAGAUUGCAGACAAAUUCCAGUCUUAAAUCUGUUGACUGCCUGCUCUAGUCUUUAGAAUCAUGUGUAACAUGUCAUUUCCAGACCCCAUCGCACAAUCUGUCUGACCUUCUCCACCAUAAUUAUUGUAUAAGUUUAGAAUGACUGUAGUGUAGGUGUCAGAUUACCGCCCAAACAGUGCCACUCAGCUUGGACCAGGCUGUUGUUGUCAACGGACUGCUGUGUUUUCUAAAGAGGAUACUAAAAGUAGAAGUGAAAUGUUGUUUAACACAUAUCCAGAGGGACAGCUGAAGUUGCAUGGGGACGUGGCGUUUACACCCCCCUCUCUGCUUCCUCUGGUCAGCACUUUGUCAAAUAGACUCAGUGCUCCUUCACCUCGCAACGCUAUACCAUUGUUAUGACUCUCUGGAAAGGUAAAAAGAAAUGGGAAGAACGCUGUUACCCUUUUCACCUUAGAGGUGGGGUUUGUAUGUCCUGAGCUGGUAGCUGCCUAUAGGCUUAUAUUCCUGCUAUCUGGAGGUUGUCCGGUGUUAGAUAUGCAAAUAUAACUAUUCAUCAUUCUUGUGGACCAGUGACCAUCAUCUGCCUGUCACUAAGGAUCUUAUGUCACAGUAGAUCAUUCCAAAUUGGUCAGUAUUGACUGUACUUUAAAAACAUGUAUUCAGGUAAUGAGUUUAGGUGCCUCCCAUUUGUAUAAUCCUGUUAAUUGUCUGAGUUGAUGACAGAUAAUUAGUAAUGCUGUCUGCCUACUAGUGUGUGUAAUUGCACACAUGAUGGGAAUGAAAAGGGCAGUUUGGUACCACUUAUUUCCCUGUUAUCAUGUUGUGUUGUAUCUACACAUCAAACGUUUUUCUCAGGAAUGUCUGAUAAAACAAAUGCAGAGAGAAACUGUGCUUUUUAUUGUAUCAAACAAGGAGGGUAAGCUGUAACCUGAUUAGAGACUCAUCAGGAGUUUGAUCGAAGACACCUCUACCUUAAAUCUCCAGAGACCAACUGUCUUUUAAAGAUGGCGUCUGAAAGGAUUAAGGCUUAGUCAGGUAAACGCUGACAAUAGGUGGAAUUUCAAUUUGGCCAUCUUUAACUACAGUCUGCCUGCUACAGGAAAGCGGUUUUGUUGUGGCUCAUGCUGUUUGAAGUUUUUUUUCUUCUGCUUCA
This is a long non-coding RNA of Oncorhynchus tshawytscha (Chinook salmon), 1520 nucleotides long. The record is from Ensembl. NCBI's taxonomy places the organism in Eukaryota, Metazoa, Chordata, Actinopteri, Salmoniformes, Salmonidae.